This 406-nucleotide ribosomal RNA is filed under the name uncultured bacterium. RNAcentral's name for it is "partial 16S ribosomal RNA". It matches the Rfam family "Bacterial small subunit ribosomal RNA", at positions 29 to 526 of the family's 1533-position model. The record is from RNAcentral.
AUUGAACGCUGGCGGCGGGCUUUACACAUGCAAGUCGGACGAGUGGCGGACGGGUGAGUAACGCAUCGGAAAGUGCCGGAUAGUGGGGGAUAACUAUUCGAAAGGACAGCUAAUACCGCAUACUAUCCGAUGGGCCGAGGUGGGAUUAGCUGGUUGGCGGGGUAAAGGCUCACCAAGGCGACGAUCAGUAGCGGGUCUGAGAGGAUGAUCAGCCACACUGGAACUGAGACACGGCCCAGACUCCUACGGGAGGCAGCAGUGGGGAAUUUUGGACAAUGGGCGCAAGCCUGAUACAGCCAUGCCGCGUGUAUGAAGAAGGCCUUCGGGUUGUAAAGUACUUUCGGCAGGGAGGCGGUACCUGCAGAAGAAGCACCGGCUAACUACGUGCCAGCAGCCGCGGUAAUAC